CGACUUUCAAACUCAAAAGCUCUGCCGAGUGCCGAGUUUAAACUUUAAAAAUAGUUUCAAAGCAAUUAAGUAAAGGAUUUUCCACCAAGUUUCUUUUCUUUGGUUUUUUCAAUUCCACUGUAAUAUAUUUUUGCUGAGAAGCAUAAUUUAAUAACUCAUAAUCAACUCAUAGCGUGGCUGAAGAUAUACAAGUUGAUAAGGUGAUAGGUGAAAGUGGAGAUUCAAAUCAAGCAACUUAAUCUGAAACCAUUAAAACUCAGUCGACUAUUGCUAAAAGAAGAAAAAAAGGUCUAAUGCGUGGAAUCAUUUUACAGAAAUUGUUAGUUCUGAAGGUACAAAACCAAAAUGUGUCCAUUGCUCCAAUGAAUAUUCUUUUAAGUCAAGAGACGGUACGUCCACUCUUCUUGGUCAUCUAUUGACGUGUCCUACUAGUGUUGAUAAAAAAACAAUCUAAUUUAGCUUUUAAAGUUAUUCCUGGGGUAGUCAAGGUGAUGUAGCUGUUGUGCUUUGGAAAUUUGACCAAGAAGAGUGUAGGAAGGCUUUAUGUCGUAUGGGGAUAAUUGAUGAGUUUCCUUUUAACUUUGUUGAAAAAGAAGGUUUUCGGGCGUUUAUGAAAGUGACACAACCUAAUUUUUGGAUCCCUUCCCGUAGUACUGUCACUAAGGAGUUUUAAUCUUUAGAAUGAAGAAAAACAAAAGCUAAAGAGGUAUUUUAUGAAAACCAAACAGAGAAUCUGUAAACCACCGACACCUAAACUUCCAUACAAGAAUUAAUUACAUGUGUAUAACUGCCCAUUAGAUUGACAGUGAAUGAAAUAUGCGUAAGAAAAUUCUUAAUUUUUGUCCUAUUAUUAGCCAUAAAGGUGAAGAUAUGGCAAAUGAUAUUGGUAGGUGCUUACGUGAGUGGAGAAUAAAUAAAAUAUUCACUAUCACUGUAGAUAAUGCGAGCUCAAAUUAUGUAACGGUAAAAGAGCUAUCUAAGCAUUUGACAAAGAUGGGAGCUAAUCUGAUGAACGGUGAUCACCUCCAUGUGAGGUGUAUGACGCAUAUUAUGAACCUUGUUGUCCAGGAUAGUUUGAAAGAAAGUUCUGUGUCUAUUGAACGUGUUAGACAUGCAGUGAGAUAUGUUAGGCAAUCUCCUGCAAGGUUGAAAAGGUUUUAAGAAAGUUGUGAUGAUGAACAACUCAGUUGCAAGAAAUCUUUGUUCUUAGAUGUUCCAACUAGAUGGAACUCCACCUACCUAAUGUUAAGUAGGGUUGUUGAAUUUGAGAAUGCAUUUACAAAUUAUGCUUCUCGUGAAAUUGGCCUAAGACAUUAUCUUGAGAAUUCUUAUAUUGAAGUUGGAGAAAAUGUUGGUGAACUUUUGAGUAGUGAUUGGGUUUAGGUGAAAAGAAUUAUAAAAUUUCUUGACACUUUUUAUCUUCUCACUUUGAAAAUAUCUGAAUCACUUUACGUUACAUCUAAUAUUCAUUUUCUUAAAAUUUGUGUUGUUGUUGUUUAUUAGAAUCAUUUGAUUGCAAGUGAAGAUACUGAUUUAAGUAAUAUGGCGAGGAAGAUGAAAGAAAAAUUUGAUAAGUAUUGAGGUGAUCCAACAAAAAUGAACAAGAUAAUUUUUAUUUCAUGUGUUUUAGAUCCUCGUUACAAGCUUGAUUCAGUUGGCUAUGCACUUAUAAAGAUGUUUGGAGAAAAUAAAGGUCUAUCUUUGAAAGAAGCAGUGAAGAAAUACAUAAUUUUAUUAUUUAAUGAAUAUGUAAAAUCCAAUUCAAAAGGGCUAGUGGUUGUUGUUUCUUCACCUUGCUCUUCACUAGAGACUUCUACUUUGAUGCUUUCUGGCAGUCAAGUAAGUGCCAAAGGUACAAGACCUUUAGAUUCACUCAUGCAAGAUCUAAAGCAAUAUAAAGCUAUGAAUAGAGGUCUAGAUGCUAGAACAGAGUUAGAUAAAUAUUUUGGAGAAGAAACUGAAGAUGAUACUAAAGAAUUUAACAUUCUGCUCUGGUGGAAAAUGAAUGCAACAAGAUUUUCUGCUCUUGUUAAUAUGGAUUGUGAUGUAUUAGCUAUUCUCGUUUCAAGUGUUGCAUCUGAAUCUGUGUUUAGUACAGGAGGACGUCUUCUUGAUUCAUUUAGGAGUUCAUUGACUCCUAAAUUGGUGCAAGUUUUAGUGUGUCUUUAAGAUUGGCUUUGAAGUGAACAAUUAAAACAACCUGUUAGUAUUGAGGAAGAUCUUGAUAAUCUCGAACAAAUUGAAAAAGGUAAUAAUAUUAUCUUUAUAUGUGUUGUUGUUAUAAAUGAUUUUUAUUUAUUAGUUGACUCAUACAAGCCUACAAGAUGACUUUCACAAGGUUAUUAAUAGUAUAAAAAGAUAAAAGUAAUUUAUAUUAUGUUUCUUUAUUAGUUGAUACUUUGUUGUGUUGUAAGAUUACUGAUAAUGACAACAAUUUGUAUUGUACUUGAUCUCUAUUUUUUUUGGAUGACUCUAGUAUACUUAGUCCCUUGCAGGUUAUUUUACAUAAAAAGUUAUUCAUAUGCAUCAAAUGUCACGCUACUUUUAGAUAAUAUAUCAAUUACUUGAGUUUUGAUUAUUUAUUAAUAUUUGGUUUACAUUGUCAAUGAUAGAAUCAUGGUUGCUACAUCUUUCAAGUAGGAUUUAUGGAUAUGUUGGCUGCUACAUCUUUCAGUGGACAGAAUUAUGGCUGCUACAUCUUUCAGUGUGCAAAAGCAAGUGUGCAACUACAAGUUAUUUCUGUGUAAAAGUUAUUCUUAUCGCUGCUACAUCUUUCAAAGUUGAGACUUGAGAUUGUUCAAUUCAAGGAAAAAGAGCAUUUUGCUGAGUAUAUCGAGCAAAAGCUGUUGAGACUUAGUAUUUUGUUUUAUUUUUUAGAUAAAUAUUAAGAUUCUUAAUUUCUUAGUUAGAUGAAACAGUUUUCUUGAUGUUAUGUUUUUUUUCCUGAAUGGAAACUUGGAAAGAGGUGAUUUUGAAACGUGAGAGGCAAGUGCUAGUUUUUACUAAAAAUCUACAGGGUAGCCUGUAGGUGCUUUUUGCCUAUUGUUUAAAUAGCUCUUAAUGUGCACAGAUUCUACCCAUCUGUAAGUCUCAACAUCUUUCUCUGUUUGUUUGAUGCAACACAGUUAAUUCUCCUCAUUCAUCCAACUGUGUAUAUCCCUAUAAUAGAAAAAAGAAAAUCCAUACCAUUAAUUUGAUGAUAGAGAGUACAAUUUAUCAGAUAAUCGAUAGUGCAUGUAGCAGGAUUGUCCGUUCUUUUCAUAGUUAAUGUUAUUUGUCUCAUUUAGAGUUCUGGAUCUAUUUAGGCAUUUCUCUUGUAGUGGCCAUUCAAUUUGUGAAAAUGGGUGUUGCUUCAGAAGGAAUGAAAGUGAAAGAGUAUAUUUGGCGUGGUCAUGAUCCUACAGCUGUAGUUGUCAUGACUGAGGUAAUAGACACUAUGUUUUUAUUAGAUUUCCAAGCUACUUAUACGUGGUAUUGUUAGUGAUGCAUGAUUUGGAGUUCAAUCUGUAGCUGGUUAUCGUGGGUGCAUAAUUGGUCGUAGUGAAUAUCACAAUAGGAAAUCCAAUUUAUAAUCCCAUUAGUUCUAUUGUUGUGGGCAACCUUCUCGGAAUGGUAAAUGAGCCUAUACACUUGUUCAAAUUUAUUAUUUGUGAUUUCUUUAUUUUAAUGUAUAGUUAAAACUCUGGCACAACAAAUGGAGUAUGAAUUGCAGGUUGCUGUAUUUUUAAUUCAGAGGACCAAGCAUGCUUUAAUUGAAACAGCAAUUGAUGACAAAGAAUUGGAAAAAAUUGUGAAGUUCUUGAAAAAUGAUCCAGUAUGUUCUUUCUGGACCACUCUUUUUCGUAAUCUGGUUGAUUAAUUAACUGUACUAUCAGAAAUAUUCUUUCCACUGCAGGUUGUUGAUUCUGUUUAUGAUUGCAAAAGUGAUGUGAUUGGACUUGACUUCUUUAGAUUUAAGACUGAGAUAGGUGAUUGGAUCUAGUGCUACCUUUUUUUCUAGUUAAAAUCUAUUGGUAUUUCGUGAAGUAUUCCUGUUAGAAAUUUAGUGAUGUCGUUGUUUAUUGGAAUCUAUCCUUUUUUUAUAAUGGUGGUUUUUGGGCGAACUUGCACACAGUUCGACUAUUCCACGGAUAUCUGCUACUGACCCACCAAUGCAGGUACUGGGUAACUUUGCCCAGGCUUAGGCUGAUGGAAAGAGAUCACCUAGCAUUUUUUUCUUUGUUGGGGUUUGAACUUUGGUCUCUAAGGUUUUCCUGCUACAGAGCCACAUCCUUUGGUGCUCCUAUUGAAUGUUUUCUUAAGGGCAAGUCAUCCAUAAUACAUAGUGAAUAUAGAAUCCUUUAAAGCUUUUGAGAGUUUGGUUUAUUAUUUUCGGACAGGUCUGCUGCGUGAGCAGUUAAAAACUAUGUUGUUUCUGUUGAGCCUUCCCUUAAACAGAGGUAUGAACGUCAAGCCUUAACUAGUAUAUAUGACUCGGUUGCAUUGUUGUAGACUUUGGUGGUAUACUAAGAACCUCAUGAUGUACCCUUACAAAUAUUCAUUAAUCUGCUUUCUUUACAACUCCAAGUUUGUUAUCUCAAAAUGUGUGGGUGGAUUCCUAUAUCCUGAUUUCAACUUGUAGUCAUCCUCAAAUGGUGAAUUGAGAUAUGUGUCUGGUGCUGGCAUCACAUUAUGGAUAUGGCUAAGAAGGAGAAUAUAGAAGGGAGGUGUGCAGCAUAUCGCAUUCCUUAUAAUAAGGAAAAGAUUGUUGGCAUGGGAGCAAAUUAUGAUAAGGUAAUGGCUGAGAUGAGCACUGAGAAAAGGUUGUCUUCUCGUAAGGGAAAAAGUAAAGCAGCAGAUUCUAGUAAGCAACUUAGCAUUGAGAUGAGCACUGAGAAAAGGUUGUCUUCUCUACUUCACUUGAGGUAGUGAUAUGGACUGCGUACACUCUACCCUCCCCAGACCCCACUAGGUGGGAAUACACUAGGUGGGAAUACACUGGAGAUGACCACUGAAAUUGCUUGAUUGCUUUCCUGUUGGUAGAAGUAAUUUUCAAUAGAACAUUUAUUUAUGAUGAUCGAGGAUCAAGGCUGCAGUGGAUGAUGUGGUUAAGAAAGCAUUUGGUGAAACUUUAUUUAUGAAAGCUUUUGCUGGAACCCUUGUGCAAUUCAUGAAAAAACAGUUCAAAUUCCAAUCCUAUAUAGGGUGCCACAGACUCCUAAUUUGUUGUAAUGUAUGCCACUUUUGUUUCAAGAAUGUCAUAAUGUGAAGAGAAAUUGAUGUACUAUAGCUUGGGCAAAUGAAACUUUGAAAACUUUUUGUUUAUAAUGUUGACAGUUCUCUUUGAAACAUCUACAACAUAAAUUGAAAAAAUUAUUAUGAUUGAGAUUG
Capsicum annuum is the source of this 5370-nucleotide RNA transcript. The record is from RefSeq and is a predicted model, not a curated record. NCBI's taxonomy places the organism in Eukaryota, Viridiplantae, Streptophyta, Magnoliopsida, Solanales, Solanaceae.